Long non-coding RNA from Sander lucioperca (pikeperch), 99 nucleotides. RefSeq lists it as uncharacterized. NCBI's taxonomy places the organism in Eukaryota, Metazoa, Chordata, Actinopteri, Perciformes, Percidae. The record is from RefSeq and is a predicted model, not a curated record. The transcript has 3 exons.
AGUAAUCGUGUUAAAUUUUUGUGAUUUCAAUAUUGACUGAAAUAAUCGUGAUUAUAUUUUUUCCCAUAACCGAGCAGCCCUAGUUUAUAGCAGUUAAAA